AGUGAACGCUGGCGGUAGGCCUAACACAUGCAAGUCGAACGGCAGCACAGUAAGAGCUUGCUCUUACGGGUGGCGGGUGGCGGACGGGUGAGGAAUACAUCGGAAUCUACUUUUUCGUGGGGGAUAACGUAGGGAAACUUACGCUAAUACCGCAUACGACCUACGGGUGAAAGCAGGGGAUCUUCGGACCUUGCGCGAUUGAAUGAGCCGAUGUCGGAUUAGCUAGUUGGCGGGGUAAAGGCCCACCAAGGCGACGAUCCGUAGCUGGUCUGAGAGGAUGAUCAGCCACACUGGAACUGAGACACGGUCCAGACUCCUACGGGAGGCAGCAGUGGGGAAUAUUGGGCAAAGGGCGCAAGCCUGAUCCAGCCAUACCGCAUGGGUGAAGAAGGCCUUCGGGUUGUAAAGCCCUUUUGUUGGGAAAGAAAAGCAGCAGGUUAAUACCCCGCUGUUCUGACGGUACCCAAAGAAUAAGCACCGGCUAACUUCGUG
This 492-nucleotide ribosomal RNA is filed under the name uncultured bacterium. RNAcentral's name for it is "partial 16S ribosomal RNA". It matches the Rfam family "Bacterial small subunit ribosomal RNA", at positions 29 to 507 of the family's 1533-position model. The record is from RNAcentral.